CCUACGGGAGGCAGCAGUGGGGAAUAUUGGGCAAUGGGCGCAAGCCUGACCCAGCAACGCCGCGUGAAGGAAGAAGGCUUUCGGGUUGUAAACUUCUUUUGUCAGGGACGAGUAGAAGACGGUACCUGACGAAUAAGCCACGGCUAACUACGUGCCAGCAGCCGCGGUAAAACGUAGGUGGCAAGCGUUGUCCGGGUUUACUGGGUGUAAAGGGCGUGUAGCCGGGUUGACAAGUCAGAUGUGAAAGCCUGCGGCUUAACCCCAGAACUGCAUUUGAAACUGUUGAUCUAGAGUACUGGAGAGGCAGGUGGAAUUCCUGGUGUAGCGGUGAAAUGCGUAGAUAUUAGGAGGAACACCGGUGGCGAAGGCGGUCUGCUGGACAGCAACUGACGGUGAGGCGCGAAAGCGUGGGGAGCAAACAGGAUUAGAUACCCGUGUAGUC
RNAcentral lists this ribosomal RNA (442 nucleotides) under uncultured bacterium. RNAcentral describes it as "partial 16S ribosomal RNA". It matches the Rfam family "Bacterial small subunit ribosomal RNA", at positions 338 to 795 of the family's 1533-position model. The record is from RNAcentral.